Molecule: ribosomal RNA, 119 nt
Filed under: Pteropus alecto (black flying fox)
Lineage: Eukaryota; Metazoa; Chordata; Mammalia; Chiroptera; Pteropodidae
Source: RNAcentral
AUCUAUGGCUACGCCACCCUGAACAAGCCCGAUCCCGUCUGAUCUCGGAAGCUAAGCAGGGUCGGGCCUGGUUAGUACUUGGAUGGGAGACCACCUAGGAAGACCAGGUGCUGUAGGCG